Long non-coding RNA from Trichechus manatus latirostris (Florida manatee), 7620 nucleotides. RefSeq lists it as uncharacterized. The record is from RefSeq and is a predicted model, not a curated record. Lineage: Eukaryota; Metazoa; Chordata; Mammalia; Sirenia; Trichechidae. The transcript is spliced from 4 exons.
CACACAAUACUGGGAAUCAUGGCAUAGCCAAGUUGACACACGUUUUUGGGAGACCCAAUUGAAUCCAUAACAUUGAUUGCCAGGCAUUUCUUCCUAGGCACCUCUGGGUGGAAUUGAAGUGCCAUCCUUUGGAUUAACAGCCAGCAGAUUAACCGUUUGCAUCAACCAGGGACUCUGUGAGCUUAACAAUGAACAUAAUGUCCUUUUUACCAUUUUGGGGGGAUUAGGGUCAGGUAUAAGAUCCAAUCCAGGAUUGCACAUUGAAUUUAGUUGUCGUAUCUCUUUAGUCUCUUUUAAUCUAUAACAGUUUCUCAGUCCUUCUUUGCCUUCUAUUGAUGUUUUUAAUGAGCGUAAUAUAGUCACUUUGUGGAAUGUUUUUCAAAUGGGUUCAUCUGAUGUUUCCUUGUAAUUAGGUAAGGAGCCCUGGUAGUGCAGUGGUUAAGCGUUUGGUUACUAACCAAAAGGUUUGAACCCACCAGCCACUCCCAGGCAGAAAAAUGAGGCAAUUUGCUUCAGUAAAGAUUACAGCCUAGAAAACCCUAUGGGGCAGUUCUACUCUGUCCUAUAGGGUUGCUAUGAGUCGGAAUCAACUUGACAGCACCCGACAGCAAUAACUUGGUUUGAGAACAGUGCUUCAUGCCUCCCACCAAAGAAUCUUAAUUUGAACUGAAUAGCCUAAAUUCUUCAUAAGAUUCUCAACAUCACAUUUAAGAGUAAAAAUGGAUUGGGGUGCCCAUGUGUUUCUGGGUUUUCUUCUUGGAAGGAGAUGAGCUGUUUGGGUAUGUGUGAAUGGUCUGAGGAAGGUUAAGAGAGGGCCGGAGCUGUUUCUUGUAAACUGACAGUUCCAGGGAGUGAGUUGGAGAUAAUCACAUAAUCCAUUUAUAACCAUCCAAGUUAACAAGAUCGCACCUUCUCCAAAUAGGCCCCUUAUUUACAAAUAGUCACUUCCCCUUAAAAGUGGGCUGUCGCCCUUGUGACUUGAGUCAAAUGCAGUGAGUCUCAUGACAUGAUAUUCCCACAACACUACAAAGAUCAAUUCCCAUUAGGAACAUUAUUAGAACUGGAAAUGUGUUUUUUAAAUGUAUAAUCUGAGCUUUGAAGAUAAUUUUUUCUCUUAUUUUGUAGACAGUCUUCUCCCCAAAAUAACUAGCAGGCUAUGCCUGCCCAACUUGAUCCCAGGUUGCAUCAGUAGACAUGGAACCUCCCAGAACAAGGGCGGCAGGAGUCCUGUGUCACUGUGGUAACAAAUAUCGUCAAAAUAAUCUGCAAAUAUUGCCUGGUCAGACCAUACGUGGAGAGUGUUGAGAGCCAUUCAUAAAUGCAAUAAUUUACAGGAGAGAAUGGGUAAGUUGCUGAAGAAUUCAAAAUCAAGUCAUAAGAUUCAUUUUUUGGACUUUUUUAGUUUAGCUUUGUCUUAUGCCCCAUCUUGGGUUUUCCGCUCCCGUUCCUCUAUGACUAGAACUCUUGUCUCUCCCUUAUCAGUUCUCAUCCCAUGACAAGGGCUGUGCUCCCCUACCGACACAUUUGCAAACGUAGUCUGCAGCCAAGAUAUUGGAAGAUUUCUUCCAAAAGAGGUGCAAGAUGGCUAUCUGGUUGAAGGAAGUUUAGUUCACCUGGAGCUCUCUCUAUGCUCUUCAAAUCCUACAUUCUGCUAUGAGAAUGAGCUUUCUUCCAGAACAGCAAGUGGAAUCUGCCUGUCCACCAUGUCUUCUACCCCUCAGGUGGCAGGUCUAGCCCAGGUACAGGUCUUCCCUCUGUUUCCAUCUGGCUGAAGAGCCCAGUGUGCCUGGCCAUGUCCUCAGACACACACCACUGUGGGAACAGAGACGCUGAGAGAAGAGAGCUGCCUGCACACAGGAAGGGCAGCCAGGAAGAUGGGGGAUUAGACAUUCAAGUGCAGCCCCAAGAGUUAUGAGCUGGAAGUCAGGAGGGACUCCAUGAGAGACCUGGGCUCCAUAGAAGGAAGAACUUUCUAACUACUCUGCUUACCUUUAUCUCUCCUCAGUGACUUGUUAAACUGAGUAGAGUCGAGACCAAACCCCAAAACACAUUGCAGUCAAAUUGAUUCUGACUCACAGCGACCCUAUAAGACAGCGUAGAACUGCCCCAUAGGAUUUUCAAGGAGCAGCUGGUGGAUUCAAACCGUCGACCUCUUGGUUAGUACCCGAGAGCCCUCUAAAAAUGUAAUAGGUGCCCUUAAAAUGGUAGCAAGUUACCUUCUCACUACCAAUAUUUGCAGAAAAGCUGAAAGUACUUCGGUGGGCUGCUGAAGGAAGUGGGGCACACGAGAUAAUUUUUAAAGAUCCCUUCUAAGCCUGAGAUUCUAUGAGGGUCAAUAAUCAAAUGUUAGUGAAAUUUUGCCUGAGUAUUUUUCCUAAAGUAAUUGCUCGCUAAUCUGUCUUGUUCAGAAUUCAAAGAAAUGUUUCUCAGUGGUUGACAAAGAAGAGUCAAUUUCAUUUUCUAUGUAUGUCCCCAGAAUUCAUGGGAUUCAUACAAAGUCGUGUAAAAUGGGAGAACCUUACAUGUUUCUUGAUGUUGUUACAUCAACAGAAUCCCACACUCCAGGGCUACUUGGUGAGACCACUUGGAAGCUAAAAACAACUUAUUAUUUCUUCAGGUCAUGCUCUACUAAUGCAGCAAAACAAAAAUUGGGGAGUUUUAUUCCAUCUGGAUAUACUAUGUAGGGGAAAUGUAAAAAAAACAAACAAACCAAAAACAAAGGGCAAAACUCAGAUUUCAACUCAAGGAAAAAUUAACUUGCAAAUAUUAUCAAAAUAAUUUUUUCCAUUUAUUGAACAAGAUGACUUUCUGAAUGUACGCAUUUGCUUUAUGAACACAGAGUAAAAUAUUUAUUUCCAUCUUCAUUUUAGUCUAGUGAUCACUACAUAAAUUUAGACAUAGAUAAUGGACAUGCUUUACACAAGAACAUGCGUGGGCUUCGGUUAAUUUGGUGUGUCCAUGGUAUUAGGUGAUUUCCAGGCUUUGUGGAAGUUCAUUAGGUGGGCAUUAGCACAUCUGCCCCCAUGACCAUCAGGCCAUGAGCUCACAAAACCAGUGCUCAUGAGUGAUAGAAACGUGCUGACCACAGCAAACAGUUAUUUUUGAUGGGGUCAUUAACUUAGGGAAACCUUUCUGCACCUAGAAACACCCUUCCUUUGCUGUUAUUGUACAAUGUUGUCUACUUCCCUUCUGGCUAAUGUGUGACAUUAAAUGUCCUUGUUUGGGGGCAGUAAAAUGUAUGACAUUUCCUUUUUCAUGUGGGCUUGCACAACCGCGAAGGCUAAAUAUUACCAAUGAUGACUCUGUGAAAAGAUCCACAGUCUUUAAAAAGGGCAACGUCCCUUCUAUGUUGCAGAUAAAUAGAAAGAAAAAAAUUUUUUUUCCCAGAAGUGUUGCUUGGCUUUUGGGUCUGUUGAUGAAUCCAGUAAGAAGUAAUAUGUAAAAUCUCUUCAUAUGAAAAUAACUUUUUCUCUAAGAAUACAGAUUCGAAAGAAGACCAAAACAUUUCUUAACAGUUCUGGAAAAAGUUUUUUCCAUUAAUUUCCCAGGCAACAAAAAUUAUACAAAGGGAAAGAGCUAGACACAUGGAGUCUCACUUUUUUAGAAAUUACUAAAUUAAAAUUUUGGCCAUUUGUAAAGCUAUUAGUAAAUUUAAAUGGAUUUGCCCAAUCGGACCUCUGAAUUGACAGGGUCAGUGAAGACAAUGGAUAGAGGGGGACGCGCUCACUUUGCAGGACAAAAAGACCCAGUUAAAUACUGACCCAGUUCCCUGAGUAGUACUCAUAUUCCCUCAAAGUCUUACAAUAUUUACCUCUCAUGGAUAUGCCCUGUCUGAAUGUUUGGGGCCUACAAUAAAAUGACAAUGUCAGUUUAUGCAAGAACAUGAUCAUUUACUGGUUAAAUAUUUUUCGGAAUGCCUACAUUUCAGUUAACACUGUACAAAUCAGUAAAUAUCUUAAGGGACUCACAGCAUGCCUACAAGACACAAAUAUACAAAGUUAUGGCAAGCUUAUGGCAAGGCUCCUUAACAUAACAGGAAAUGUACAGGCACAGAGAUGAAAAUAUAGGCCAUCUAUUGUAAAUGAGCCAUAUUUUUGACAAAGGAUACUAUCUGAAAAGCACAGAAGAAUAUUUUAUCCAAGAGGGAAUUACAAACAUAAAAAUAAAAUAUCUGGUAUUCUACACUAUAUUACAAAAAUAAAUACAGCGAUCAAUAAAUAGGAGGAAGCCCAGAAAAUUUCACAUGAAUAUUUGGGUUGUUGGCUGCCAAAGCCUCUGUUCCAACUCCCAUCAAGGAUUGUUUAGCUUUAUGGAUUCCAGUGAUGAUAACUCUGCUGUAAAAGACUGCCGUGAGGCCUAGUGGAGGGUCUAUGGCCAGAGGAAGACCUUGGUAAAUUCUACUUUCCUGAGAAUCUGACAAUUUUAUAGUUUACUAUUAAUGCAGUGGGGUAGAGGACUUGCAGAUGUACUGUGAGGGGUCUGAUAGGAGAUGGGUUGGAGGAGACCAGGGAAAAUUCUCUUUAUGAUUUAUGUAUUUCUGGUUUUUGAUGAGGAGAAAGCAAAAAAAAAAAAAAAAAAAAAGGAUGUAACUAGUAACAUUUGAAUAACCAAUAUGGGGCUCUAUACAUUCACUUUCCAUACAGAGGAGACAAAUUAUAGAAAUACAGGUUUACGUCUGGACUAUGGUAAAAGGAGAAACAUCUAGGCUAUGCAGCCUAAUCGUCGAUAGCUUAGAUUUUCACCUCUCUUAAACAGUAUAGUGAUAAUAGGUGCUCACAGCAAGCGCUGACUGGGCGCUCUGGCGAGCCCACAGAGGGUUUGGGGGAAGCAAAGGCUAGCAUGGUAUUUGUGUUCUAAUAUCAGUGUGUGCAUGUCAGUGGUGUGCUGGCUCAAAUGGGUUUUCAAGAGCCCGUGAUUAAAUUUGCAGGAAUUUUGCAAGCCAUUCAACUUCUCAUUGGUACUUGAGAUAAGCCAUGAAUUUUGAUGUCAAAUGGGAAUAUUCACGUCAUUGAAACCUACAAAUCAAGGCUUUUUUUCCCCCCAGAGCACUAUGGAAAACAUUUACCAGCACACCCCUUUCUUAUAUUUUCAACAUAAAGAAAAUUUUACUUGAUUUUUAUCUAACCAGAGCUAGCCUAUUCAGCCAAGGUUUUACUGUAUAUCUAUUACAGUACCUUUUGAAAGGAUAAGAAGUACCGUAGAGUAUACAUCGUGUACCAUGAAUUAUCAAAGAUGCACCACAUUCCUUUGAGGGCGCUAAGCUUGGCUGUCCAAAGCCAGUUGCACAAACACACACACACACAAGUUAUUUUAUAUGAAGGCUAUUCCAUAAAUGAACAAUUCCGAGUUCCUUGGCCAUCCCAAAUUGUCAGUUUCUGUAUACAUACUGAUGGUUGAAAUUCCACUCUUCCAGGGACACUGAAUUCCCCCGGGACAUUACUUCUGGACACCAGUGGGCAAUGAAGGUACAGAGCUGAGGUCAAAAUAAGUACAAAGCCAAUGAGAGACGAAUUUCUCCAUUGAAAGAAGUUCCUCUUCCCUUGCUGAAUUGCUGCUGUUGAAGAUGUCAGGUGCCAAUGUCAUCCACUCCAGUGUUUGACUAAACUCAUAAAUGCCUCAAGUAGCUUGGGAAUGGAGCUUCCCGCAUGGCAACACUGGGAAGGCUGGAGAACUCCAGGUCAAGAUGGAAAUCAGUCAAUGGGAUGAGGUUGAAGAUUCAUGACAAUUAUCAGAGAUGACUGAUUUAAAGGGAAUUGAGUAGAGAUGGGGCCCAACAGGAGAUGUAACAAUUUGGGGGUGGGGGAGUUCUGUUUCCUCUGGAAUAUAAAAGAAGGGCAUGGAAAGGAUUGAAUGCUUGAGCUUUCUCUUUAGUAUUUGUCAUUCUCUUUUCUUGCUUGUGGGAGCCCUGGUGGUGCAGUGGUUAAGAGUUCAGCUGCUAACCAAAAGGUCAGCUGUUCGAAUCCACCAGCUGCUCCUUGGAAACCCUAUGGGGCAGUUCCGUCCUGUCCUAUAAGGUCCCUAUAAGUUGGAAUCGACUUGUGUCUCUUGCUUGUGUAUCCCUCUAGUGUUUAGCUAAGUACACACUGUAUGCUGGAUACUUGACUAAGAACGUCCCUGUAACCUUACCUUCUCUCUAAUUCCUCUAAUGUUUUAUUUAAUACAAUAUUUAAGAGCAAAGUCUUUUUGUGCCCUUCGACGUGGGAUCCACCACUUAUUGAUCAUGUGACCUUGAGCUAAUUACUGAAAUGCUCUGAGAUGUUUUCUUAUUUGUAAAAUGGAGAUUAUAAUAUUACCUACCUCAUGGAGUUGUUGUGAGGCUAAAUCAGAUAAUGCCUGUAAAAUGUUUUAAGCCCAAUGCUGGUGAAUAGUAAGCAUUUACUAUGUUUAUUUAGUGCACCUUUUGUUCUUCUUAUUAGAAUGAACCAUUGAAAUUGCUGUUUUUGUAUGUCAAAAUGGUAGAAUAUUGGUAAACUUCAUAUGGUUUCAUAUGGUUAAACUUCAUGAAUGCUUUGUUUUCUUUUGGCUUAUAGUUGUUGCCAGCAGGGUUAAGGAGAUCUAUCUACUUAACUGUGUAAAUAAGGAAACACCCAUGAUAUUCAAAGAGGUCCAGGAAUAAGUUUAUUUAAGUCAGGACUGGUAUCUUAUGCUUCUUUGUAUAAUUAAGCACUUAACUCAAGGCUACUCAUAUAAAACCAAAAAACCCGUUGUCUUUGAGUCGAUUCUGACUCAUAGAGACCCUACAGGACAGAGCAGGAGUGGCUGGUGGAUUUAAACUGCUGCACUUUUGGUUAGCAGCCAUAGCUCUUAACCACUGCACCACCAGGGUUCCAUAUAGGAGAUGAUUAAUAAAUACUGCGGCACUGAAUUCAUACAUGUAAAUAUGUCAACUUUUUUUUCUCUCUAAAUCACUCCAUUUUCCUUGGCUAUAAAAUUCUAUAUCUGAUUCCUAAGAUCAAGUUGACACAGUCAUUUCAAAAGCAUGAAAAGCAAAUAUUUAUGACUUUGGUUGACCUUGUUGAGUUUGGGAACCAGAUCUGUCAUAUAUAAACCAUUUCACUUGAAACCAGUGAUGCUUGAUGAAAGCAAGCAUCUGCAAAUGAAAACAUGGGAAUGGGUGUUAAGGGUAAUGGUUUCAGUCAUAUCUCUGCCCCUUUUCAAAAAAUGAAAAGAGAUAUCAUGUCAGCAAUAAAAGGAGCUAGAGGUUACAAGAGGCCUUUCCCAGCCAGGAAUGAGAGCAACACGAGCAGCCCAAGGAAGCUUGAGGUCUCCAGCGCACACUCUGGGCAGCAGUACUGCCAGGCCUAAAAACCACGCAUAGUUAUAGAUACCACUUCACUCUCUCUCUAAUUUAGGCCCAGAGGAGACAGUUAUGUGACUAUUAUUUUGAUGCAUGAUUAAAAGAUAGGCUUUCAGAUGAGUUACACCGAAAAGCAAAAUUGACAAGUGUAAAUGUGAAUUUAAAACAUAAUUUUGGAGGUUAAGUGUUUGCAUUGAAAAAUAUUCUUCAAUUUAAUAAAAUGAUUAUUUUCCUCAUUUCUUUUUGAGAGCUCCUAGAGAGUUGUAAUUGUUAAGGUUGUGUGUCAACUUGGUGGGGCCAUGAUUCUCAGUGAUUUGGUGGUU